GGGCACGGCUUCAAUGGUUAGAACUUUCCGCUCAUAACGGUCUGGUUGCAGGUUCGAGUCCUGCCGGGCCCACCA
This 75-nucleotide transfer RNA is filed under the name Bradyrhizobium valentinum. Its description in RNAcentral is "tRNA-Met". It matches the Rfam family "tRNA". Rfam says of the family: Transfer RNA (tRNA) molecules are approximately 80 nucleotides in length. Their secondary structure includes four short double-helical elements and three loops (D, anti-codon, and T loops). The record is from RNAcentral. Lineage: Bacteria; Pseudomonadati; Pseudomonadota; Alphaproteobacteria; Hyphomicrobiales; Nitrobacteraceae.